GCGGGACGACCAUUACGUGGGUGGUCGCGGGCUCGGUGAGGAGGGCCGCCGGUGUCUCGGCGUGCGCCUGGGCGGAGGGCAGGCUAAUCCACUCUCGGCUGCCGGGCCAGCGGUGCAGGGACGGUUGGGCGGGGCGGGGGUCGCAGGCCCCAGGCACGGGCGGCCGGGGUGGUGUGCGCCUCAGCCCCAGCCCGGGCUCCAGGCUGAAUUCCGCUCGGUGAGAUUAGCCGCACGCUCCGUGUCCGAGGCUCUUGGCCGGUGAGAUGAAAGAUUUUCAAGGUAUAGCGGAAGCAUCAUUGCCAAGCUUUUUAACCAAUUCAGUACUUGGUAAUAGUGGGAUUUGGGAUGUGUCACUCUGUCUUCAAAUCUUGGCUUGCCUGUUGCUGUUUCCACACUUGCUAGAGAUAGGUCCAGCACUGAUAAUAGGUGUUCUGGUGUCCAGGCAUCUUACUUAGCAGAAGGGAAGUUUUCAGUUCCAUCUGAGUCAUCUCCUGGUAGCCAGAGUGAUGUUGAACCGAGAGAGAGACUGCAGUUUAGCUUCCAUGAUGAAGAGAAAAAGGACUAUAUGAAAAGUCAACAUUUGUCACAUGCUCUCAUGAAACAGUUAGCUUUUCAAAGUGAUGUAGCAAGAACCGAAGAGGAGCGAGCUAAAACUACAGGAUCCUUCCAGUGCCAAGAUCUUUUUGAUAGGGUUUUGCCACUGGACCAAAUACAAGACUCACCUGUUGAUUUUUGUUUACUAUCAUGGAUGAAUAAUAAGGAACACAAGAUUGUUGUGCCCGAUACUGGAAAACAUUUUGAAGACAAGACUCCAAACAGUGACUUAAGCCAUGCUAGCUUAUUAGAAAAUGAGAAACUUAUGUCAUUGACAAGCUUGGAAGAUUCUUCUGAUGAUGAUAUUGAUGAUGAAAUGUUUUAUGAUGAUCAUUUGGAGGCUUAUUUUGAACAGCUGGCAAUUCCGGGAAUGAUAUAUGAAGACCUAGGAGGACAGGAACCUCCAGAAGAAGAUUUUAAGUUACUUACAAGUGAUCCUAGUCAGCCAUCAUUUGGUUAUUUUAUUAGAUCACCAGAGAAGAGAGAACCUAUUGCUUUAAUAAGAAAAUCUGAUGUGUCAAGGAGUAAUUUGGAAAAAGGAAUGGCUCAUUUUACCCAUGAUCAGUUUUCAGGAGAUUUAAAUGAACAAUCCCCGGCACAACUAAACGAAGGAUCAAUUACACUUCAGGUUGAAGCACUGGAGAGUAAUUCACAAGUGGAUGAAAAUGAUGUGACGUUAACUGCCGAUAAAGGGAAAACAGAGGACACUUUCUUCAUGAAAAACAAACUCCGUAGAUGCAAAGACAAGCUGCCUGAUAGCGGUGAUUCUGUGCUGAGUAUAAGCACCAUUGCUUCAGCCAUUGCAGAUGCCUCAGUUAGUUCUGAUCCUUCUCAGCUUGCUGCCAUGAUCAAGGCACUUUCAAAUAAAACCAGCGAUAAGGCUUUUCAGGAAGAUGAUAAACAGAAGGACUGUUCCAAUAUGUCUCAUUUCUUACCUAAUGAUUUAGAAAAAAGUAAUGGAUCCAGUGCAUUUGAUAUGGAGAAAUACCUUUAAAAAAGAGAGGUUAGUAGAUGUGAAGGUGGACUGGAAAACUUUUCAAGAUGUAGUAUGUCUGAUAUUUUGGAUUCAUCUUUGCCAAAAGAACAAAUUAAAGACAUCCAUACAGUGGACUUAGGUGCUACUGAUAUAAGUGUAAGGGACCAAAAGAAAACAUAGCAGCUAUUUUUUGUGGUGAAAAUGGAGAGAGUGAGAACCAGGAAUCAUUUAGAACUGCAUACUCUUCAAGUUCAGUGCUGACAAAUAUAAGAGACAAUGAGAGUGCAGCAGUUGAUUUGAAAACAAAUUCCAUUGACAACAAAUUACCAGAUAUUGGUAACAGUGAAAAAGCUACCUCAGUUUCCACUCCCACAGCUAAAACGUAUUCAUCAGUAAGGAACCCCAGAACAACAUCCCUUUGGCUGUCAGAGGAGUGUGAAGAAAUACAAGAUGAUAGAAUCAGAACAGAAAUGAGUAUGUUAGUGAAACAAGCAACAGUGAAAAGCAUGUGACUUUUGAAAAACAUUGUGUAGUCUCACCUAAAAAUACUGGUAAGUGUCUGAGUAAUUGAUCACAUUCACAAAAUUAUGCAGAACUUUUUUCUGUUCUCAUUGGAAAAUACACCUAUCUGAUAUGAAAAACGCCUCUGCUGAGCAUGGUGGACAUGACAAAGAGGAGGACCAUGAAAGAUUCAGACCUUCCACUUCACCACUUAGUCACUCUUCUCCCAGUGACAUUUCUGGAACAAGUUUAUCAGGGUAUUGAACCCUGGACCUUGGUGUUAUCAGCACUAACUGAGCUAGCUCUCAACUGAGCCAGCCUUCAACAGCAUGAUUUUAAAAGACUGCAUAGUGUUUUAUUGUGUGCUGUAGAGUCUUUUGGUUCAACAGCACAUCAUCAGAAACCCCCCUGUGAAAGUGAGUUGUCUCAGUUGACAUAUACACGUGCUAGUGUGAGCAGGCUGACCUAUGUGUCUGAACAAGAGAGCACCUAUCCUACCACAGCUACAGGUUAUGACCUAGAGGACCAUAAGAGUGAUAUCACCAGUGAGUUGAGCACCACGAUUAUUCAAGCCAGUCCAGCUCCAUCAGAGGAACAGGCUGGAUUCCACAGUCCUCCGUGGCCGCUUGUGCAGAAACAGCAGGUGGGAAAACCAGCUGGUUGCUGAUUCUGCUUCUCUGAAGCCCGUGAGCAUUCUGGGCCCCUCUCCUGAAGCAGACGCAAAGCCCUGGGGUGCCAUCUGCUUCCAGGGAUGCCAAGGCCAUCAUUCCACAGAAGCUCAUACAGCAAGCCUUGGUCAGCAGCACGCGAGGGCUUCUCUCCUGAAAUCAGCUUUUCUUUUUUUCAGAGUUUAUUGUAUAAAACAAAUGCAGAUUUUUUUCUUUUUUUGUGCACAGCAAAAUGUUACCAUAACUUUCACUCUAAAUAAGAAGUGAGAGCUGCCCACAUUGACAGUUCAAUUUCUGCAGUGACCAGUUUCUCUCGGUGUAAUUUAUUUCAGUAUAAAUAACAUCACAUCUCAAUCUCAUGGUGUGCUCCCAGGCCAUGCUGCUGUGAGUUAAAAUCUCCUCAGAUGGUGGAGUAGAGGCCGAGGGACUGCCUGGCUCAGUUCUUUCAGUGUGGCCGGAGCCUCCCAUCCCAUGAGACGUAGGAAACCACAGAAUUUAGGGCCCCCCUUCUCUGGCUUUCUCCUUUCCAGGAUUUCUGGGCUGUCCAAGUCGUGUUCUUUGGUUCUUCAAGGCAACAAAGCUGCAUGUUUUCUAUUCGAAUUCCUGCUGCCCCUGCUGGCAGGGUUGGGCUGGUCUCCGGGCUAAAAGCAUCAGAAAGCAAGAUGCUUCCAUUCCGCGUCGCCUUCAGAUGUCACUCCCUUCAGGGUGGCACCUCCUGAGCUUCAUGGCCGUUGCCUGCAGGAGGAAGUGCUGGGUGGCCCUGUGGGUCACAGCACCAUGGGUGCCCAGCUGCAGCCAGGGCCUUGUGGCCCCUGGAAAGUGAGACUGUCUGUGAAAUGCUCCCCUUAUCCUGCAGGAGGAGGAGUGUUCCAACUAGAGCCUCUGAGGUAACAUCACUUCAUGUGUGAAAUUUAUUUUUUUCUCCAUAUUCAUCCCAUGGGACUGCUUUGCUCUCUGUGGCCCCCUCUCUCCUCUGCCUGGACCUCAGCCUCAUGUGUGGAGAGCGCUUUCCCUCUUAUACUUUGACUUGAAUGAUCUUUAUUAGGCAUUUGAAGUUUCUCUGUGAAAAAGCUGGGCAGACUUUAUGGCGACUUUUUAGAGCUGAGAGAACAGAGGCCCUGAGAGUCUGAGGGAUCAACUGGGGGUGAGGGCUGAGGGCCCCAGGAGGUGGGCUUUUGUCCCAAGCAUUGAUGUUAAAAGACAGUUUCUGAGUCUUUUUUAGAAGUGUAAAUGGUAUUUUAUCAAAAUACAGCUCUUUCAGAAAAUUAGUAAGUUGUUUGGACUUUUGAACAGGGUAUUUUCAAGUUGUAUAAAUCUGUACCAAGGCACCAUGGAGUCUCGCUUGGUACUGGUGGUGCGUUGCACAUGGCAGGUGACUUUAUCAUAGCUCAAGUGAGAGGUGGACAAUUGUGUCCAACAUCUGAGCAGCACGAACUGGUCAGCAGUGUUGCUGGUGAAUUGAAAGAAUUACUGCAGCUCAGGGAUCUUUGAAAACAAACCACCAACAGGGGAAACCGCUCCAGGUUACCAGGACAAGCCUAGGGAGAGGGCACCUGGCCACUAGUCCACAUGCCAGAUAAGCCAAGGAAGCACCCUGUGCCCGUUGUGCUUCAGAGGUGUUCACAAACGGGGCACAGUCGACAUCACAACCUACACUUCAAAUAAAUGUGUCAAUAUGUAUA
This is an RNA transcript of Cynocephalus volans (Philippine flying lemur), 4421 nucleotides long. It is a transcript of the gene named centrosomal protein of 192 kDa-like, with no coding region annotated. NCBI's taxonomy places the organism in Eukaryota, Metazoa, Chordata, Mammalia, Dermoptera, Cynocephalidae. The record is from RefSeq and is a predicted model, not a curated record. The transcript is spliced from 13 exons.